This 253-nucleotide ribosomal RNA is filed under the name uncultured bacterium. Its description in RNAcentral is "partial 16S ribosomal RNA". It matches the Rfam family "Bacterial small subunit ribosomal RNA", at positions 524 to 776 of the family's 1533-position model. The record is from RNAcentral.
UACGAAGGGGGCUAGCGUUGUUCGGAAUUACUGGGCGUAAAGCGCACGUAGGCGGACUAUUAAGUCAGGGGUGAAAUCCCGGGGCUCAACCCCGGAACUGCCUUUGAUACUGGUAGUCUCGAGUCCGGAAGAGGUUGGUGGAACAGCUAGUGUAGAGGUGAAAUUCGUAGAUAUUAGCUAGAACACCAGUGGCGAAGGCGGCCAACUGGUCCGGUACUGACGCUGAGGUGCGAAAGCGUGGGGAGCAAACAGG